Molecule: ribosomal RNA, 253 nt
Filed under: uncultured bacterium
Lineage: Bacteria
Description: partial 16S ribosomal RNA
Rfam family: Bacterial small subunit ribosomal RNA
Source: RNAcentral
UACGGAGGGAGCUAGCGUUGUUCGGAAUUACUGGGCGUAAAGCGCGUGUAGGCGGCUCGAUAAGUCUGCUGUGAAAGUCCAGGGCUCAACCCUGGAAUGCCGGUGGAAACUGUCGAGCUAGAGUCCGGAAGAGGCGAGUGGAAUUCCUGGUGUAGCGGUGAAAUGCGCAGAUAUCAGGAGGAACACCAAUGGCGAAGGCAGCUCGCUGGGACGGUACUGACGCUGAGACGCGAAAGCGUGGGGAGCAAACAGG